Molecule: ribosomal RNA, 404 nt
Filed under: uncultured bacterium
Lineage: Bacteria
Description: bacterial SSU rRNA
Rfam family: Bacterial small subunit ribosomal RNA
Source: RNAcentral
UGGGGAAUUUUGCGCAAUGGGGGAAACCCUGACGCAGCGACGCCGCGUGGAGGAUGAAGGUCUUCGGAUUGUAAACUCCUUUUGCAGGGGAAGAUAAUGACGGUACCCUGCGAAUAAGCCACGGCUAACUCUGUGCCAGCAGCCGCGGUAAGACAGAGGUGGCAAGCGUUGUUCGGAAUUACUGGGCUUAAAGGGCGCGUAGGCGUCCCGGCAAGUCGGAUGUGGAAUCUUUUUGCUUAACGAAAAAAUUGCAUCUGAAACUGCCGGGAUUGAGUCAGCGAGGGGAUGGCGGAAUUCCCGGUGUAGCGGUGAAAUGCGUAGAUAUCGGGAGGAAGGCCGGUGGCGAAGGCGGCCAUCUGGCGCUGAACUGACGCUGAGGCGCGAAAGCGUGGGGAGCAAACAGG